Molecule: ribosomal RNA, 301 nt
Filed under: uncultured bacterium
Lineage: Bacteria
Description: partial 16S ribosomal RNA
Rfam family: Bacterial small subunit ribosomal RNA
Source: RNAcentral
CAGCAGCCACGGGAAUACGAAGGGGGCUAGCGUUGUUCGGAAUUACCGGGCGUAAAGCGCACGUAGGCGGAUAUUUAAGUCAGGGGUGAAAUCCCAGAGCUCAACUCUGGAACUGCCUUUGAUACUGGGUAUCUUGAGUAUGGAAGAGGUGAGUGGAAUUCCGAGUGUAGAGGUGAAAUUCGUAGAUAUUCGGAGGAACACCAGUGGCGAAGGCGGCUCACUGGUCCAUUACUGACGCUGAGGUGCGAAAGCGUGGGGAGCAAACAGGAUUAGAUACCCGAGUAGUCCCUGUCUCUUAUAC